Molecule: non-coding RNA, 309 nt
Organism: Maylandia zebra (zebra mbuna)
Lineage: Eukaryota; Metazoa; Chordata; Actinopteri; Cichliformes; Cichlidae
Source: RefSeq, a predicted model, not a curated record
AGGAGGAGGAGACCUCUGACCUCACCUCCUCUGCCUCUGGCAGCUGUCUGCCCUCCUCAGCCCGUCAGUCGUCUGUCAGCUCACCGGAGAGAAAAUCAAUGAUUUAGCAGAAGUUUGUCUUCAGCUGGAAGGCGGGCAGCAGACUGAGGUCAAAGUUUCCUGGAUUCUGACGUUUUUUUGCAGUGAGCGACGCCAUCAGCCGACCGUCCCUCCAGGAUGAGCGCCGAGCCUCCGCCGUACCGUCCUCACUUCCCUGAGGGCCCCUCGGCCCCCGUCUUCUCUCCAGGUCUGUCUUCUUUUAUCUUUGAC